GAUGAACGCUAGCGGCAGGCUUAAUACAUGCAAGUCGAGGGGCAGCAUGAGUAGCAAUACUUGAUGGCGACCGGCAAACGGGUGCGGAACACGUACAGAACCUUCCUUCGAGCGGGGAAUAGCCCGGAGAAAUCCGGAUUAAUACCCCAUAGUAAAUUGAAAAGGCAUUCUUUUUAAUUUUAAAGAUUUAUCACUUGAAGAUGGCUGUGCGCCUGAUUAGGUAGUUGGCGGGGUAACGGCCCACCAAGCCUUCGAUCAGUAACUGGUGUGAGAGCACGACCAGUCACACGGGCACUGAGACACGGGCCCGACUCCGUACGGGAGGCAGCAGUAAGGAAUAUUGGUCAAUGGACGCAAGUCUGAACCAGCCAUGCCGCGU
Molecule: ribosomal RNA, 379 nt
Filed under: uncultured bacterium
Lineage: Bacteria
Description: bacterial SSU rRNA
Rfam family: Bacterial small subunit ribosomal RNA
Source: RNAcentral